GAACAUAGUUUAAUGGUAAAACAUCAGCUUCCCAAGCUGAGGUUGGGGGUUCGAUUCCCCUUGUUC
This 66-nucleotide transfer RNA is filed under the name human gut metagenome. It matches the Rfam family "tRNA". From Rfam's summary of the family: Transfer RNA (tRNA) molecules are approximately 80 nucleotides in length. Their secondary structure includes four short double-helical elements and three loops (D, anti-codon, and T loops). RNAcentral also lists the same sequence under 3 other names. The record is from RNAcentral.